GUUUAGGUCACCUUCUUUGCUAAAUUAAAUGAAGCAAAAUGCUCAGUUGAGAGAUGUAAAGAUUUAUAGUACUCUUGAACCAGAAUGCAUAGCCAUUUUCUCGCUGGCCAGGUCAAAUUUGAUCGAGUCUAAGGUGCAUUUGAUGAAGAUGGCGAAGCAUAUACAAUACGUCACUUCCAAAUUUAUCCCGAUUACUGAAGAAAAUGCCAUGAUGACAAUAUUGUUCUCAGAAGAAGCAAGAUCUAGUUGAUAGAGUGAUGAUUAUACGCCUUCACUUGUAUAAUCACUGUA
Asparagus officinalis (garden asparagus) is the source of this 291-nucleotide long non-coding RNA. RefSeq lists it as uncharacterized. The record is from RefSeq and is a predicted model, not a curated record. The transcript is spliced from 3 exons. Lineage: Eukaryota; Viridiplantae; Streptophyta; Magnoliopsida; Asparagales; Asparagaceae.